UCGUAACAAGGUCUCCGUUGGUGAACCAGCGGAGGGAUCAUUACGAAAAGGAGUUCUCGGACUCUCAAACCCUUUGUGAACCUUACCUAUCGUCAGUUGCUUCGGCGGGAGGCCCCUGGGAGGGGCCCCGGGGCCCGGCCUGAGCCGGGCUCCCGCCGGAGGAGCGCAAACCAAACUCUUGCUGUACCUCAGUGGAACAUCCGAGUUAAAAAUAAAAAAUAAGUUAAAACUUUCAACAACGGAUCUCUUGGUUCUGGCAUCGAUGAAGAACGCAGCGAAAUGCGAUAAGUAAUGUGAAUUGCAGAAUUCAGUGAAUCAUCGAAUCUUUGAACGCACAUUGCGCCCGCCAGUAUUCUGGCGGGCAUGCCUGUUCGAGCGUCAUUUCAACCACUCGGGCCCUGGUGCCUGGCGUCGGGGUUUCUUAUAGAUCCCCUAGAAUCAGUGGCGGACCCGCCGCGGCUCCGAGCGUAGUAGUAAAAUAUCUCGCUAUGGAGGUCCGUGGGGGGCUUACCGGCCGUAAAAGCUUUCUCUCACGAGAAAAUUCUCAAGGUGACCUCGGAUCAGG
This 565-nucleotide ribosomal RNA is filed under the name fungal sp. AX7. RNAcentral describes it as "eukaryotic LSU rRNA". The stretch from base 228 to 381 matches the Rfam family "5.8S ribosomal RNA". The record is from RNAcentral. Lineage: Eukaryota; Fungi.